UACGGAGGGUGCAAGCGUUAUCCGGAUUUACUGGGUUUAAAGGGUGCGUAGGCGGAUUUGUAAGUCCGAGGUGAAAUCUCCGAGCUUAACUCGGAAACUGCCUUGGAUACUAUAAGUCUUGAAUGACGUUGAGGUUAGCGGAAUAUGUCAUGUAGCGGUGAAAUGCGUAGAGAUCGGGAGGAACAUCAGUGGCGAAGGCGGCCAUCUGGGACAACACUGACGCUGAAGCACGAAAGCGUGGGGAGCAAACAGG
RNAcentral lists this ribosomal RNA (253 nucleotides) under uncultured bacterium. RNAcentral's name for it is "partial 16S ribosomal RNA". It matches the Rfam family "Bacterial small subunit ribosomal RNA", at positions 524 to 776 of the family's 1533-position model. The record is from RNAcentral.